CUUGAUGCCGGUUGCACCUGCUACAUAGAUAUGCCGAUAGAUAGCAUACAGAUGUAGUUGGAUAGGAAAGAAUGUGUACUUUCAUCCAGGUGACAUGCUAAGCUAUGCAUUGUAUAAAUUACAGCUCAACCAGAUGACAUUAAACAGCUA
Etheostoma cragini (Arkansas darter) is the source of this 150-nucleotide long non-coding RNA. RefSeq lists it as uncharacterized. The transcript is spliced from 3 exons. The record is from RefSeq and is a predicted model, not a curated record. NCBI's taxonomy places the organism in Eukaryota, Metazoa, Chordata, Actinopteri, Perciformes, Percidae.